CGCAAUGGGCGAAAGCCUGACGGAGCAAUACCGCGUGAGGGAUGACGGCCUUUGGGUUGUAAACCUCUUUUAUCAAGGAGGAAGUUUUGACGUGUACUUGAUGAAUAAGCAUCGGCUAACUCCGUGCCAGCAGCCGCGGUAAGACGGAGGAUGCAAGUGUUAUCCGGAAUCACUGGGCGUAAAGCGUCUGUAGGUGGUUUAAAAAGUCUACUGUUAAAGAUUGAAGCUUAACUUCAAAGAUGCCGUAGAAACUUUUAAACUUGAGUAUGGUAGGGGUAGAGGGAAUUUCCAGUGGAGCGGUGAAAUGCGUAGAUAUUGGAAAGACCACCAAUGGCGAAGGCACUUUACUGGGCCAUUACUGACACUGAGAGACGAAAGCUA
RNAcentral lists this ribosomal RNA (381 nucleotides) under uncultured organism. RNAcentral describes it as "bacterial SSU rRNA". It matches the Rfam family "Bacterial small subunit ribosomal RNA", at positions 367 to 762 of the family's 1533-position model. The record is from RNAcentral.